This is a small nuclear RNA of Peromyscus maniculatus bairdii (prairie deer mouse), 106 nucleotides long. The record is from Ensembl. NCBI's taxonomy places the organism in Eukaryota, Metazoa, Chordata, Mammalia, Rodentia, Cricetidae.
GUGUUUGCUUCAGCAGCAUGUAUGCUACCAUUGGGACAAUACAGAGAAGAGGAGCAUGGCCUCUCCACAAGGACACAUGUGAACUCAUCAAGCAUUCCACAUUUGG